AGCUUGCUGGGUGGAUUAGUGGCGAACGGGUGAGUAACACGUGAGUAACCUGCCCCUGACUCUGGGAUAAGCGUUGGAAACGACGUCUAAUACUGGAUAUGACUACCGGCCGCAUGGUCUGGUGGUGGAAAGAUUUUUUGGUUGGGGAUGGACUCGCGGCCUAUCAGCUUGUUGGUGAGGUAAUGGCUCACCAAGGCGACGACGGGUAGCCGGCCUGAGAGGGUGACCGGCCACACUGGGACUGAGACACGGCCCAGACUCCUACGGGAGGCAGCAGUGGGGAAUAUUGCACAAUGGGCGAAAGCCUGAUGCAGCAACGCCGCGUGAGGGAUGACGGCCUUCGGGUUGUAAACCUCUUUUAGUAGGGAAGAAGCGACUGAGUUUACUCUGAGUGACGGUACCUGCAGAAAAAGCACCGGCUAACUACGUGCCAGCAGCCGCGGUAAUACGUAGGGUGCAAGCGUUGUCCGGAAUUAUUGGGCGUAAAGAGCUCGUAGGCGGUUUGUCGCGUCUGCUGUGAAAUCCCGAGGCUCAACCUCGGGCUUGCAGUGGGUACGGGCAGACUAGAGUGCGGUAGGGGAGAUUGGAAUUCCUGGUGUAGCGGUGGAAUGCGCAGAUAUCAGGAGGAACACCGAUGGCGAAGGCAGAUCUCUGGGCCGUAACUGACGCUGAGGAGCGAAAGCAUGGGGAGCGAACAGGAUUAGAUACCCUGGUAGUCCAUGCCGUAAACGUUGGGCGCUAGAUGUAGGGACCUUUCCACGGUUUCUGUGUCGUAGCUAACGCAUUAAGCGCCCCGCCUGGGGAGUACGGCCGCAAGGCUAAAACUCAAAGGAAUUGACGGGGGCCCGCACAAGCGGCGGAGCAUGCGGAUUAAUUCGAUGCAACGCGAAGAACCUUACCAAGGCUUGACAUACACCGGAAACGGCCAGAGAUGGUCGCCCCCUUGUGGUCGGUGUACAGGUGGUGCAUGGUUGUCGUCAGCUCGUGUCGUGAGAUGUUGGGUUAAGU
RNAcentral lists this ribosomal RNA (1008 nucleotides) under Flavobacterium sp. Its description in RNAcentral is "bacterial SSU rRNA". It matches the Rfam family "Bacterial small subunit ribosomal RNA", at positions 77 to 1085 of the family's 1533-position model. Lineage: Bacteria; Pseudomonadati; Bacteroidota; Flavobacteriia; Flavobacteriales; Flavobacteriaceae. The record is from RNAcentral.